Long non-coding RNA from Hylaeus volcanicus, 916 nucleotides. RefSeq lists it as uncharacterized. The record is from RefSeq and is a predicted model, not a curated record. The transcript is spliced from 2 exons. NCBI's taxonomy places the organism in Eukaryota, Metazoa, Arthropoda, Insecta, Hymenoptera, Colletidae.
GCUCUGUGCGCAACUGUCUCAACUCUGUUGCCAAACCAACCGCUAAAUUCUUCUGCAUGUACUUUAAUUUUACAACUUGUUCACGCUCACGUGGGCCUUCAGUUGCGCAAAAGGCGAAUGCUCCAACAACAGCCCAAAUGAGACAGCGAUAAUCUUCCUAGAAACCGAAUAUGCUUCCAUAUUUUGGUAGAUUUCUUCCCUGAGCCAUUUUCCUCGAAAAUGUCUUUGACGGAUGGCAAAAAUCUCAGCCGUAAUGGUAAACCAACUAUAGUUUGAAUGGCUAUUGAUUUUGUUAAUUUCUUAGGCUCCACUACUGUUUCGAGUCGUGUUGGAAUGUCUUCUGAAACUGGCGUCGUCGAUUCUGUGUACAAUACAUUAAAGUAUUAUUAUGUUAACGCAAGAAUUUUGCUAUCAUUUUACAAAGCGAAGUUGUUUUAAAAAUAUUGCAUUUGGUACAACUUGAAGCAAUAUUUGCUUCAACGUUACUAAAUUAUCGUAAUCUCUUUGAUACUAAUUAGAAUGGAGCUGAUGUGAAAAUCAAAUUAUGACGAUACGUUAAAUAUGUUUUAAUUAUUAAUCUUCCCAUAUAAGAAUUGUAUUUAAUUAUAUCUCAUCUAAAUCUAGAAAAGGGAAUUCCCCCUUGUAUUAGAGAAGCAUUUCUAUUAAUUCAGACAAGAAAUCUUUGAAAUUUUAUAUUUAAUGGGUAGUGAUAAAUAAUGAUUUUCUAUAGCGUAUAGAUUUACCAUGUCGAUAGAGGUUUUAAAAAAAAGUGAAAAUAAGGGAUAUGAUAAGAAUUGUAAAAUCUAUCUUCAUAUAUUUUUUAUUUUACGAAUGAAGUAAUAUCUUUUGUUUUUCAUUUGUAAUGUACUUUCAUUUUAUGUUGAAUCAAAUAAAUUUAAUUAUAGAACUGACUAAA